Mus pahari (shrew mouse) is the source of this 997-nucleotide RNA transcript. It is a transcript of the gene named 60S ribosomal protein L13a pseudogene, with no coding region annotated. The record is from RefSeq and is a predicted model, not a curated record. The transcript has a single exon. NCBI's taxonomy places the organism in Eukaryota, Metazoa, Chordata, Mammalia, Rodentia, Muridae.
UGCCGAAGAUGGCGGAGGGGCAGGUUCUGAUAUUGGAUGGCCGAGGCCAUCUUCUGGGCCGCCUGGCGGCCAUUGUGGCCAAGCAAGUGCUUCUGGGCCGGAAGGUGGUGGUCGUACGCUGUGAAGGCAUCAACAUUUCUGGAAACUUCUACAGAAACAAGUUAAAAUAUCUGGCCUUUCUCCGGAAGCGGAUGAAUACCAACCCUUCCCGAGGCCCCUACUACUUCCGAGCCCCCAGCCGCAUUUUCUGGCGCACUGUGCGAGGCAUGCUGCCCCACAAGACCAAGAGAGGCCAGGCUGCCUUGGAACGCCUCAAGAUGUUGGAUGGGAUCCCUCCACCCUAUGACAAGAAAAAGCGCAUGGUGGUCCCUGCUGCCCUCAAGGUUGUUCGGCUGAGGCCUACCAGGAAGUUUGCUUACCUGGGGCGGCUGGCUCAUGAGGUCGGGUGGAAGUACCAGGCAGUGACAGCCACUCUGGAGGAGAAACGGAAGGAGAAGGCCAAGAUGCACUAUCGGAAGAAGAAGCAGAUCUUGAGGCUACGGAAGCAGGCAGAAAAGAAUGUGGAGAAGAAAAUCUGCAAGUUCACAGAGGUCCUCAAGACCAANGGACUCCUGGUGUGAACCCAAUAAAGACUGUUUGUGCCUCAUGCCUGCCUGGCCUGCCCUUCCUCUGCCGCCGACCAGGGAAGUGGGAACCAAAGGNUCCUUAGGAGGCACUGUUCCUGUGGGUAGAGGGGACAUUUUAGAGCUGACAGCCCACCACCUGCUUGAGUUUUAUUAAAGUGCAAACCAUGGAAUGAAUCCCUUGAGCUUCAGUGGUGAAAAUGAGUAGCAGGGCUGCCCCACCCACCUGACUGAAUACCAUAUCUGCAGCUAUGAAAAUGAGGUCUGUCUGCACACGGAAGAUACCAGUGCAAGCACUGCCUCUGCUCCUUCCCGACAGACCACAAAGCAGUGUUUUUCUGGAGGAUUCUAUGUGCUAAUAAAUUAUUUGACUU